This 4011-nucleotide long non-coding RNA is filed under the name Homo sapiens (human). RNAcentral's name for it is "HSALNT0358986". The record is from RNAcentral. Lineage: Eukaryota; Metazoa; Chordata; Mammalia; Primates; Hominidae.
AGAGGCGGAUGAAACCACGGGAAAGGACUCGGGGCUGAAAUCAACACACUUGACUGGGUUUGGGGAGCUAAGUCAAUCAGCAGUCGCCCGAAAAAGAACUCCGAAAAAGGAAAAUAAAAGGGGAAAAAAAGAGUUCCUCAGGUCAUUCCCCUGCCCAACUUCCUCAGCGGCCCGGUGGGCGAGGCAGUGAGACUUCCACCGCCCGCUCCCAGCCUCUGCCUCCCCCACCCUCCCGGCUCCCUCCCGGCCUAGGCGGCCGCCCGACACCUCACUUACCCUCGGAGCCUGGCGGGUGCUUUGGCCACGGGCCGCCUCCGCCUCUCCCGCUCCCUACGGCCCGCGGGCGGGCGCGGAACCCUCGCGCGGGAGAGCAGGGCCGGCAGGUGAGAGCCGAGAGAGGCGAGGGACUCUGCUUUCGGUAAAUAGGAAGCCCGGUUGGGGGGGCAGGAGCGGCGGCCCCGCAACUUCCCUCCCCGCCUCGAGCGCCGCCGGCCGGGCCCAGGCCUAGCUCUCGCUGGCCGCCACUGCUGGAGCUGGUAACAGAGCCUGCUGUGUGCCCCCGCUGGGCCGCCGCCGCCUCCUGCGCCGCCGCUUCCGCCGGUGAAUGGUCAGUGCUGGAGUUUGAACAGGGCCCUGAACCAUCUCAACGCCAUUUGCGCUCCCGGCCCCCACCUCCUUCCUCCAACAGCCGCUCGCUCCGUCACUCCGCUUCCCACAGUCCCCGCGCGGCCGCCCGACCCCGCAGCCAAUCGCGCAGCCGCUUACUCAAACCGCCGCGCAGGCGCUGCGCCCCGCAUGCUCCGGCGCCCGCCAUUGGCCCGGCCGCGGAGCCCGACGGGAGUUGUAGUCCAGGUCCGCGAGGUCGCGGGCCGAGGACCAGGCGCGGGAGCGGGAGCGGGCGACUGGCCGGGCCCUCCCGGUCUCGGCAGCCACUUCUAGCUCCCGGCCCAGCCGGGAGACGCAGGUGCCACGGAGAUGGGCAGCCGGGCGGGUGGCGCAGUGCAGGCAGCUGUAUCAAUCGCUUCCCCUCCAGGGACCCGCCGGUGCCUGGGGACCGCGGGCUGUGCAGCUGUGCCGGGCCUGCGGAGGCCGCCGCCCGGGAGCUGGGAGGCAGGGGGCGCGUGGUCAAGAGCCGCCCUCGACCUGGCCUGGUCGGUCCUGGCCCGGCGUAGGUGACGAUGGCGGGGACCGCGAGGCGCCGGACACCCGAGGCCACGAGCAGCGUCGCCCCUCGCUUUUUCGCGCCCCUCCAGCCCUGCAGUCCUUCCUCUAAGUCCGUCUGCCCCUCACCGAUUGAAAGUGGCCCCGAGAAUAUUGGAUGGUAUUGAGCAAUUAUCAUUAACUUUGUUGGGUGUGGUAACGGUAAUGUGGUUAUGGUUUUUUGUUUUUUUUUUUUUAAGACCUACUGAUGUGUUGACAGAGUGAUCUGGUGUCAGGACUGUAAAAUACGCCUAUGAAAACUGGGGGAGAGGAAUAAAACAAGCUGGCAGAACGUUUUUCAUCGUUGAAGCUGCGUGAUGCGAGCAUAUGUGCUCAUCAUACAGUCUCUUUACUUGUGUAUCUGAAAUUUUCCAUAAUAAAAAGUUUAAAGAAGUGAACCAGCGAUUGCCUCUAGGGAGGACAGUGAGGUGGCGGAUGACGGGAGGAAGGAGUCUUAAUUUUUCGCUGUACGCCUUUUUGUGCUAUCUUAGGUUUUUCCCAUUCAAUGUGUUACCUAAUUCAGAAAAUUGGUAAGUUUUUUUUAAGGCUACCAUGGGAAAACAGCGUUCUAAAGAGUAGCGCAACCAGUUCCCCCUAAGAGAGGUGCAUGAUUCGUCGGACUCCGACAGCCUUGGUGUUUGUUAGGCGGUUAAUGGAGACCCACCUGGGAAAUUAGAAAACUACUAAUUGCUUUCAGUGAGAAGCCCGCCCUUCUCCCACAAAUGGAUAAUUUGCUUUUAAUGCACCCAGAAGUUAUCCAGCUCCCUCCGGUAUAAUCGGGGAAACUCCAAAUAAAGGAAAAAUAGUUCAGAGACCCUGCAGCUCUUCCCAAGAGGAAUUUAAGGUGGAUUUUAGUGUGGUUGGAUUGUUUUGCCUACCUGACUGCAGAAUUUAUAUUCUGACAUUUACAAUUUCCUAAAUACUGAAUCAGUACUUUUUCUUGUUUCAAAAUAAAUCAACUUCUUCUGUAGUUUAUAUGAAAAACAAGUCCAUGUCUUCCACUGUGGGUGGGAUGCACAUGACUGUUUUAUUUGGGUCAGUUUUGUCUCUUUUUUUAAUUGGCAGUUUAGGAACUUGUUUUUAUCAUUUUGUUUAAAGAUCUUCUGGCAGAGGUGCAGGCUGCACUUACUAUAAUUAUUUAGAUGACAAGGUGGUGGGUGGUAAUUAAAGGGUAAUUAUCAUCAGAGGCAAAAGGUAAGAUCAAAAAACCAGAAGAGGUGAGGAAACAAUUGCAAGAUCUUCCUGUAGGAGGGUGUCGUGAUCCUCCCAAGACCAAAGGAUAUGUCUAUUAUGCCUGGCCUCUCUAGUGCUGGACACUUGGCAGGGUCAGUGCCUGCAUGAGGCUGAAGUGGAAGGGCUUAUUGUUUAGACUGGUGCCUUUUGAGGGCUUUUAUGUGAUGGUUGUGUUAAGUAAUGAAACUUAGUAGUGUCAAAUUCUUGCCACUCAAAGAAUGAUCCCCAAUCAGCAGUGUAGCAUCACCUGGAAGCCUGUAAGGAACGCAUAAUUCCUAUCCCUCACCCCAGCUCCACUGAAUCAGAACCUGCAUUUUAACAGGAUUCCCCCAGCUGAUUGGGCUGCACAUUAAAGUUUGACAAGCACUGAUUUAAAGUAUACCCAUAGCAUUUGACAGCAAUCUAGUAUUUUUCGUUAGGAUGAGGGAGAGGAAGGGAGAUGAUUAAGAACCUCCUAUGCAUCAGGUAAGAUGCUAGGCUGUUCAGGGGCCUUGUCUGCUUCCCAGUCCAUUACUCUAUCUUACAAGUAAGGAAAUGGGAAGACUUGUAUGUUACAACUAAUGAGGGAGUCAAACUUUUUCUUGACGGUUGGAUACCCUUUAGUACUUCUUGGUGUUCUUGAAUCUGGUAGAAAGUGGUACAUGAUUUGAGAAGUAAAGUGUGUGUGAGUGUGUGUGUGUGUGUGUGUGUGUGUGUGUAUUUAGUCUGUGGAAGCUUAGUAUAUGAAUAUUAAGCAGAGCUCUUCUGGGCUCUGUACCCUUGUGUGGCUCACACUAAAGACACCCCUCGGGCCCCUCCUGGAGGGAGUUCAGACUCCUGGCCCUGCAGGCUGUACCACCACCUUAACCCCUUACCUCCCUGCUUCCACUGAGGCAAGCAAAUGCCCUGAAGUCCCCUCAUUCCCUUACCAGGGCCCUGGGUUCCACACCAGAAUGAGCAAACAGAACUCCAGUGUGGGUAACACAUGGCUGAACAGCUUUUUGUUGUAUUGUUUUUGUUUUCUUAGUUCUCUCAGCUCAGGCUCCAUCCCCCUGGCCACCUCAACCCCUAGAAUGGUUGUCUCCAUUUCAUGAGAAUCUUCACACUAACAUCAAGUAGCCAGUAGGUGCUUUUGGUUUUGCUAGAAUGCCUGUGUGCAAGCUCUCAGAUACCUGAUUUUCUUUCCCCCACUGAAUGUUGUGUUUGUCAGAAACUGAAAUCAUGGAUCAGAGCCAAGUUUGUAGUACCCUUAGGAGGGGCCUCUGCCCUCCUGUGUGCUGCCUGGGUGAGGACAGAACCCCCUAACCUGGAGCUCCACUUGAGUGGGCCCAUACCUGUACUUUCCUCUGAAAAAAGAAAAUCCUGCAAAGAAAAUAGAAGACAUCUGUUCUGCCAUUGCCAUGCCCUUGUUCUAGCCCAGACAUGAGAACUGUCAGAAUUGGAGUUACUAAAUAGAACUUUUAGUCUUUUUCUGAUAAUGUGUAGUAAAGUGUAUUACAACUUAUAGAAUUCUAUUUAGGGAACUACAGGUCAGAAACUACCAUAUUGGUAGCAGUCAAUUUUUCUUUGCCAUCGGAUGUGGAAUAAAAUGUUAAAUUG